GCUGGGCAUGGUUGCGCAUGCCUGUAGUCCCAGGUACUUGGGAGGCUGAGACAGGAGAAUCACUUGAACCCAGGAGGUGGAGGUUGCAGUGAGCUGAUAUUGUGCCACUGCACUCCAGCCUGGGUGACAGAGCGAGACCCUGUCUCAA
RNAcentral lists this signal recognition particle RNA (148 nucleotides) under Nomascus leucogenys (northern white-cheeked gibbon). RNAcentral's name for it is "Metazoan signal recognition particle RNA". It matches the Rfam family "Metazoan signal recognition particle RNA". From Rfam's summary of the family: The signal recognition particle (SRP) is a universally conserved ribonucleoprotein. It is involved in the co-translational targeting of proteins to membranes. Lineage: Eukaryota; Metazoa; Chordata; Mammalia; Primates; Hylobatidae. The record is from Rfam by way of RNAcentral.